UGGGGAAUCUUCCGCAAUGGACGAAAGUCUGACGGAGCAACGCCGCGUGAGUGAAGACGGCCUUCGGGUCGUAAAGCUCUGUGAUCCGGGACGAAAGAGCCUGAGGUGAAUAGCCUAAGGAAGUGACGGUACCGGAAAAGCAAGCCACGGCUAACUACGUGCCAGCAGCCGCGGUAAUACGUAGGUGGCAAGCGUUGUCCGGAAUUAUUGGGCGUAAAGCGCGCGCAGGCGGCUUCCUAAGUCCAUCUUAAAAGUGCGGGGCUUAACCCCGUGAUGGGAUGGAAACUGGGAAGCUGGAGUAUCGGAGAGGAAAGUGGAAUUCCUAGUGUAGCGGUGAAAUGCGUAGAGAUUAGGAAGAACACCGGUGGCGAAGGCGACUUUCUGGACGAAAACUGACGCUGAGGCGCGAAAGCGUGGGGAGCAAACAGG
This 429-nucleotide ribosomal RNA is filed under the name Fusobacteriota bacterium. RNAcentral's name for it is "Fusobacteria bacterium partial 16S ribosomal RNA". It matches the Rfam family "Bacterial small subunit ribosomal RNA", at positions 355 to 776 of the family's 1533-position model. Lineage: Bacteria; Fusobacteriati; Fusobacteriota. The record is from RNAcentral.